This 253-nucleotide ribosomal RNA is filed under the name uncultured bacterium. RNAcentral's name for it is "partial 16S ribosomal RNA". It matches the Rfam family "Bacterial small subunit ribosomal RNA", at positions 524 to 776 of the family's 1533-position model. The record is from RNAcentral.
UACGAAGGGGGCUAGCGUUGCUCGGAUUGACUGGGCGUAAAGGGCGCGUAGGCGGUUCGUACAGUCAGACGUGAAAUUCCUGGGCUCAACCCGGGGGCUGCGUUUGAUACGUGCGGACUUGAGUGCGGAAGAGGGUCGUGGAAUUCCCAGUGUAGAGGUGAAAUUCGUAGAUAUUGGGAAGAACACCGGUGGCGAAGGCGGCGACCUGGUCCGAUACUGACGCUGAGGCGCGAAAGCUAGGGGAGCAAACAGG